Molecule: ribosomal RNA, 404 nt
Filed under: Brucella melitensis
Lineage: Bacteria; Pseudomonadati; Pseudomonadota; Alphaproteobacteria; Hyphomicrobiales; Brucellaceae
Also listed under: 2 other names
Description: partial 16S ribosomal RNA
Rfam family: Bacterial small subunit ribosomal RNA
Source: RNAcentral
UGGGGAAUAUUGGACAAUGGGCGCAAGCCUGAUCCAGCCAUGCCGCGUGAGUGAUGAAGGCCCUAGGGUUGUAAAGCUCUUUCACCGGUGAAGAUAAUGACGGUAACCGGAGAAGAAGCCCCGGCUAACUUCGUGCCAGCAGCCGCGGUAAUACGAAGGGGGCUAGCGUUGUUCGGAUUUACUGGGCGUAAAGCGCACGUAGGCGGACUUUUAAGUCAGGGGUGAAAUCCCGGGGCUCAACCCCGGAACUGCCUUUGAUACUGGAAGUCUUGAGUAUGGUAGAGGUGAGUGGAAUUCCGAGUGUAGAGGUGAAAUUCGUAGAUAUUCGGAGGAACACCAGUGGCGAAGGCGGCUCACUGGACCAUUACUGACGCUGAGGUGCGGAAGCGUGGGGAGCAAACAGG